GAUGAACGCUGGCGGCGUGCCUAAUACAUGCAAGUCGAACGAGGUGCUUUUGUAGCAAUACGAGAGUAUCCUAGUGGCGAACGGGUGAGUAACGCGUUGGUGACCUACCCCAAAGUGUGGAAUAACAGUCCGAAAGGAUUGCUAAUACCGCAUGUGGUUAUCGGGUUUAGAAACUGAUAACUAAAGGAGCAAUUCGCUUUGGGAGGGACCUGCGUCCCAUCAGCUAGUUGGUGAGGUAAUGGCUCACCAAGGCUACGACGGGUAGGGGACCUGAGAGGGUGACCCCCCAAAAAGGAACUGAAACACGGUCAAAACACCUAGGGGUGGGAGAAGGAGGGAAUAUUGAAAAAUGGGCGAAGGCCUGAGGCAGCAACGCCGGGUGACCGAUGAAGGCCUUGGGGUCGAAAAGGUUUUUUCGGGGGGAAGGGAAAGGAAAGUUCCCCAGGAAUAAGGCUCGGCAAACUACGU
This 468-nucleotide ribosomal RNA is filed under the name uncultured bacterium. Its description in RNAcentral is "partial 16S ribosomal RNA". It matches the Rfam family "Bacterial small subunit ribosomal RNA", at positions 28 to 506 of the family's 1533-position model. The record is from RNAcentral.